RNAcentral lists this long non-coding RNA (1972 nucleotides) under Homo sapiens (human). RNAcentral's name for it is "HSALNT0389261". Lineage: Eukaryota; Metazoa; Chordata; Mammalia; Primates; Hominidae. The record is from RNAcentral.
UGGCAAAUGUAAAUUCUCCUGCCUACAAAAAGAUUGAUUGAAAUUUGCAUAUAUGACCGGGCGCAGUGGCUCACACCUGUAAUCCCAGCACUUUGGGAGGCCAAGGCACGUGGAUCACCUGAGGUCAGGAGUUCAAGACCAGCCUGGCCAACGUGGUGAAACCCCAUCUCUACUAAUAAUACAGAAGAAUUAGCCAGGCGUGCAUGCCUGUAGUCCCAACUACUCAGGAGGCUGAGGCAGGAGAAUGGCUUGAACCCAUGAGGUGGAGGUUGCAGUGAGCCAAGAUCACGCCAUUGCACUCCAGGCUGGACAACAAGAGCAAAACUCCAUCUAAAAAAGAAAAGAAAAGAAAUUUGCAUACACAUACCCUUCUAUUGCUGCAAGGACCUUCAGUUUAUUGUGUGUGGCUGUCAUGUUAAGGAGUGACUUGGGGUAUGUGAAGCAAUAGAAAUGAGAACUAAAACUAAGAGAACUAAUGAAGGAGAGGAACAUCAACAAAUGUGGCUGAUCUUGGAUUGUUAGUUGAAAGGAGCAGUUACAUUUUAGCUUUUGUACUUGAAGCUUAAGUACUUCUUUCUUUUUGCUUUGCCCAUCUAUACUAAUUAUCCAUCAUCCCCAAAAGAUUUAACUUUAUUAAUCCAGUGUUAAAAGCAGGGAUCCAUAAAUGGAGUUUUAAUUCAGAAAUAUCCUACUAUAGCCCAGUGUUUCCAGCAUAAUGAAUUCACUAUGUAAUUAAAAGUUUGAUUAAACUAGAACCUACAAAAAUAUCAUGUUUCUGAACUAAUGUCCAUAGAUAGACUCAAAGGUCACCCAGUACUCUCUAUAGCUUAGAUAUAUUCAAAUAAUUUACUAUACACUUUUCCAAAGCAAAGCAAAAAAAAAAAGCGUUAUUUCUAUGGUUAUAAAAGAAGCGUUUAUCUGCUUGAAAAAAUUGCAAAGUCUGUGUGAGUGGGGUCUGUCGUGGGUCAAGCUGCAAAGAUCCGGCCUGCAUCUACCACAAGAGGGCAGUAGCACUCAACCGUUAAUAGGGAACCCAGCAGAGCGCUGGAGGCUCAUUAGAGGAAUCGUUAGAGCCGGUCGUUAACGCAUCAACCUCUGGAAAGGACAGGGAAACAGGAACCACCGUCCAGACACUUUCGGAGCUUCUGUCUCGAUCAUUCCCGAACUGAAGUAUGGAAAUUUGGUAAUGUUGUCAUUGAACAUCUAUACCACUGGAUACACAUCUGUUCAGCUCUCAUGAAGAUAACCAAACAACUAAAUAGUGGUAUUACACCUCCGUUGCCCUCCAAGACUGACAAUUAUAUGUAUGCAAAAAUGCCAGGGGAAGGUUUGCAAGAGAAGUGAUAAUGGAUGAUAAUGGAAUUGAUACUGUAUUUAGGAUCCUUUGUUUGUUAUCAGUUUUGUUUGUUAACUAUAAAAUAUUUUCCAUUGGAAAGGGGUACCUAUAAAUGUCUUCUGCUGCUAAUAUUUAUCUCAGCACUUUCUAAACCCAAAAGUGCUACCUAAGAAGAAAUUUAGCCAAAAAAUACCCAGCUAAGGUAGCCAUAGCCAAGUGUAUUUAAGUAUGUUAUAGAAUAUAUUUGAAAGCUUCCUUUCAGUUUGAGCUUUGUAUCUGCUGUGGAACUGUUAUGGUUGAUUGGGUAGUUAUUUUUCAUUCUUAUAAGGUUCAAAGUAACAGCUGAGGAUUUAGAAAACAAGAAUACCAAAUAGAAUACGAAAUAAUAAAGAUAAACCAAAAGAAUACCAAAUAAUAAAGAUUUUUAAGAAAUGGACUGAGAAUUGUUUUUCUAAUUUUUCAAAGACUUAUCUAAACAUCGCCUCUUCCCUCUCUCUGCCUCCAUACUCUUGCCUUAACAACUCAAAAGUUGCUUUUGGUUUUUAACUUUUUAAUUUUUAAUUUUUGUGGGUACAUAGUAGUUGUACAUAUUUAUGGGGUACUCAAAAGUCAUUUUAAUGAACAGAAAUUCUUGUG